UCUGCCCCAGAGGCACUCCUGGUGUGGUUGCUGUACACAUGCACAUCAGUAGGUGACAGAGAAGAAAUGCUCUAUGUAUAUUUAGUGUUCUCACCUUGUACAUCUGGAUGAUGAAUAGCCUAACAUU
This is a small nucleolar RNA of Mastomys coucha (southern multimammate mouse), 127 nucleotides long. RefSeq annotates it as small nucleolar RNA SNORA17. Lineage: Eukaryota; Metazoa; Chordata; Mammalia; Rodentia; Muridae. The transcript has a single exon. The record is from RefSeq and is a predicted model, not a curated record.